GUGUAAAACUUCAAGAUCUUUCUUAUGUUCUAAGAAUUCAGAAGUUGAUUCCUACAAAGGAUUUAGAUAUUUAAUCAAUAGAAGAUACUGCUAGAUUUUCAGAUGGCAUUCUAUCUACCAAGAGCCUCAAUUCCGGUGUCAAGGCCAGCAUCAUCAACACUGGACCUUAGCUAUGGAUGCCCUGAGAGAUUCAAGUAGCACCUUCCAACGGCCAUCACGGAGCACUAACAUCUCACAAGCUGCAGCUAUCCAACUAAUGCUGAGCAGCUGGAGAAUACAGCCCACAGCACAAAAGAAUUCAUUUAGGUGCGGGAAAUAAUCUAGAAUUUCCAGUGACUGACUAUAGAGAACACUUCUUUGUAAAAUACAAAGCACAGCUAAAUUAAAUCCUCAAAAAUGUU
Felis catus (domestic cat) is the source of this 401-nucleotide long non-coding RNA. RefSeq lists it as uncharacterized. The transcript is spliced from 2 exons. The record is from RefSeq and is a predicted model, not a curated record. Lineage: Eukaryota; Metazoa; Chordata; Mammalia; Carnivora; Felidae.